AGUGAACGCUGGCGGUAGGCCUAACACAUGCAAGUCGAACGGCAGCACAGUAAGAGCUUGCUCUUACGGGUGGCGAGUGGCGGACGGGUGAGGAAUACAUCGGAAUCUACUUUUUCGUGGGGGAUAACGUAGGGAAACUUACGCUAAUACCGCAUGCGACCUACGGGUGAAAGCAGGGGAUCUUCGGACCUUGCGCGAUUGAAUGAGCCGAUGUCGGAUUAGCUAGUUGGCGGGGUAAAGGCCCACCAAGGCGACGAUCCGUAGCUGGUCUGAGAGGAUGUUCAGCCACACUGGAACUGAGACACGGUCCAGACUCCUACGGGAGGCAGCAGUGGGGAAUAUUGGACAAUGGGCGCAAGCCUGAUCCAGCCAUACCGCGUGGGUGAAGAAGGCCUUCGGGUUGUAAAGCCCUUUUGUUGGGAAAGAAAAGCAGCAGGUUAAUACCCCGCUGUUCUGACGGUACCCAAAGAAUAAGCACCGGCUAACUUCGUG
This 492-nucleotide ribosomal RNA is filed under the name uncultured bacterium. RNAcentral's name for it is "partial 16S ribosomal RNA". It matches the Rfam family "Bacterial small subunit ribosomal RNA", at positions 29 to 507 of the family's 1533-position model. The record is from RNAcentral.